This 497-nucleotide ribosomal RNA is filed under the name uncultured bacterium. RNAcentral describes it as "partial 16S ribosomal RNA". It matches the Rfam family "Bacterial small subunit ribosomal RNA", at positions 28 to 507 of the family's 1533-position model. The record is from RNAcentral.
GAUGAACGCUGGCGGCGUGCCUAAUACAUGCAAGUCGAGCGAACAGACGAGGAGCUUGCUCCUCUGACGUUAGCGGCGGACGGGUGAGUAACACGUGGAUAACCUACCUAUAAGACUGGGAUAACUUCGGGAAACCGGAGCUAAUACCGGAUAACAUGUUGAACCGCAUGGUUCAACAGUGAAAGACGGUCUUGCUGUCACUUAUAGAUGGAUCCGCGCCGCAUUAGCUAGUUGGUAAGGUAACGGCUUACCAAGGCAACGAUGCGUAGCCGACCUGAGAGGGUGAUCGGCCACACUGGAACUGAGACACGGUCCAGACUCCUACGGGAGGCAGCAGUAGGGAAUCUUCCGCAAUGGGCGAAAGCCUGACGGAGCAACGCCGCGUGAGUGAAGAACGUCUUCGGAUCGUAAAACUCUGUUAUUAGGGAAGAACAAAUGUGUAAGUAACUAUGCACGUCUUGACGGUACCUAAUCAGAAAGCCACGGCUAACUACGUG